AUUGAACGCUGGCGGCAGGCCUAACACAUGCAAGUCGAGCGGCAGCGGAAAGUAGCUUGCUACUUUGCCGGCGAGCGGCGGACGGGUGAGUAAUGUCUGGGAAACUGCCUGAUGGAGGGGGAUAACUACUGGAAACGGUAGCUAAUACCGCAUAACGUCGCAAGACCAAAGAGGGGGACCUUCGGGCCUCUUGCCAUCAGAUGUGCCCAGAUGGGAGUAGCUAGUAGGUGGGGUAACGGCUCACCUAGGCGACGAUCCCUAGCUGAUCUGAGAGGAUGACCAGCCACAUUGGAACUGAGACACGGACCAGACUCCUACGGGAGGCAGCAGUGGGGAACAUUGCACAAUGGGCGCAAGCCUGAUGCAGCCAUGCCGCGUGUAUGAAGAAGGCCUUCGGGUUGUAAAGUACUUUCAGCGGGGAGGAAGGGGUUGAGGUUAAUACCCUCAGCAAUUGACGUUAACCGCAGAAGAAGCACCGGCUAACUCCGUG
RNAcentral lists this ribosomal RNA (490 nucleotides) under uncultured bacterium. RNAcentral describes it as "partial 16S ribosomal RNA". It matches the Rfam family "Bacterial small subunit ribosomal RNA", at positions 30 to 507 of the family's 1533-position model. The record is from RNAcentral.